CUCAUAUCUCCCUCUCUAACUCUAAGCACCAGCUGUCAGAACAGCUCACAGAUCACUGCACAUAGCCCAUUGAUGACCUGAGCCAACUGUGCCACUUCUGUGGGGAGGUGGACAAUAAUGAGGAAAACACUAACUCGAUUGGCUGUGACCGCUGCCCACGAUGGUUCCACCAGUCCUGUAUGAAAACCAUCCCAUCAUUGGAGGAUUAUGUCUGCGCUGCCUGUCAGGACUAGGUUAGGCUUGAGUUCCAGGCGAUGAUAUCACCUGGAAAACUUUCCAUAAAAAGUGGACUAAAUGUUCAGUCGAGCUGCUGCAGCUUUCCAAUAUUUGUUUGUUAUUUAUUGUCUUUUUAUAUCUUAUAAUGCAAAGAUCAAAAUGUGUAUUUCUUAUUUAAUGUUUGUUAACAAACUUAACUUUCU
Molecule: long non-coding RNA, 419 nt
Filed under: Salmo salar (Atlantic salmon)
Lineage: Eukaryota; Metazoa; Chordata; Actinopteri; Salmoniformes; Salmonidae
Description: lncRNA (ENSSSAG00000095785.1)
Source: RNAcentral